This 119-nucleotide ribosomal RNA is filed under the name Lepisosteus oculatus (spotted gar). Lineage: Eukaryota; Metazoa; Chordata; Actinopteri; Semionotiformes; Lepisosteidae. The record is from RNAcentral.
UCCAACAGCCAUAUCACCCUGCAACUCACAACUGGCAUCCCACUGAUGGUCAGCAGGGGGGAGCCUGGCCAGUACCUGGAUGGGAGACCUCCUGGGAUCAACUAAGGUUCCUGCUGGAU